This 1413-nucleotide long non-coding RNA is filed under the name Malus domestica (apple). RNAcentral's name for it is "long non-coding RNA (MDOM_LNC007958)". Lineage: Eukaryota; Viridiplantae; Streptophyta; Magnoliopsida; Rosales; Rosaceae. The record is from RNAcentral.
UUGAAAUAAAAUGGUACUGGAUGUAUGAAAGUGAAAUGUUUUAAAGUUGUUGUAUGGGGUUGUAAUAGACCUCAAACCUGAGGGGCUACUAUGUAAUUUACCCUUGAUAUUAUUGAUGAGAUGCUAUGUUGUGGUGCAUUAUGAUUUCUCUGGAAAUUAUACAGGUGUUGUAACGAGGGAUUACAUGUGUUAUAUGUUUUCUAUUAGUAUUUUACUUACAUGGCCACUCACCCUUAUCUUGUCUUCACCCUCUAGGUAUUAUUAGUUAAGUUUUAUUAUCACCAAAGACUCACGGCGAUUCUUAGUAUUAGAGACUAUUUCGAGGGUACGAUUCUUAUAUCAUUUUUUUGUGUACUUGCUUAUGCUUUAACAUCACGUGUGAAGUGGGUUCAUUUCCGCUCACCAGUGCACUCUGGUAUUUAGGCACUCGUAGGUUUAAAAUUAUUCACAAUUUUCCACACCAUCACACUUUAUGGCUUCGUCACCUUCCAGGUGUCGGCCAGCACAACUUGAUUCGGAGUCCUAGUGGACAUUCCGGGUCGGGGUGUGUCAAUUUUGAUUGAAUAAAUGGAUAAAAACUAGGUGACAAUAAGAAAUAAUAAAUGGCAAAAGAAUGUAUCCAUAGUGUUAAAAAAAUUGGUACAGUUUACAAAAAAAAUGAUACAUUUCACAUAUAACAAGGUGGUACAUUAAUAAAGAAGAAUGGGCACAUUAUAAAUAAAUUAGGGUACAAAUAACAGAUUAAAAAAUUAUGAAUACAAAUGAAUUUUUAAAAAAUAUGGGCGUUAAAAGAAAUUAAUAGAUGGGUACAAAUUAAAACUAAAAAGAAAAUACUACAAAUUUAAAAAAAAAAAUGUUACAAAUUAAAAGUGGGUACAAACUAAAAAUAUAAAUAUAUGAUACAAAGUUUAGCCAUAAAACAUAUAUAUACCAUAUGUAAUUUUUCUACCAUUGAUUAAAUAUACAAAUGUCACGUGACAGUAAACACAUGGGUACAAAUACAAAUAAAACUUUAAAAAAUAUGGGUACAAAUUAAAAAAGGUUUGCAAAUUAAAAAUAAGUACAAACUAAAAAUAAAAAUAUAUGAUAAAAAAUUUAGCCAUAAAUAUAGAUAUACUAAUUGUAACAUUUUUAACAAUAAAGGAAUAUAUUUAAAAAUAAAAAUGUUUUAUUAUUCAAAUAAUUAAUGAUGCUUUUAAUACCCAAAUACCUUGAUCAAAAAUUGAAAAUGAAUAGGGUUUUAAUCAAUGUAGUAGCAAAAUGAAGAAUGUGAAUCUAAUUUUUUUUUUUUUUUAAAAGCAAGGGAAUCCAAUUCUUGUUUUUCAUGGUUUAAUUCCUUAGAUAAGAUAUUGUUUUAAGCCCUUUAAUGGAUUAAGGCAUAUAAAAGAAACAAGGAUAAAUUACAUAAAACUA